UACAGGUUGUCCACAGUUCUCUCCAGAGC
RNAcentral lists this non-coding RNA (29 nucleotides) under Homo sapiens (human). Lineage: Eukaryota; Metazoa; Chordata; Mammalia; Primates; Hominidae. The record is from RNAcentral.